This 236-nucleotide unclassified non-coding RNA is filed under the name Hevea brasiliensis (rubber tree). Lineage: Eukaryota; Viridiplantae; Streptophyta; Magnoliopsida; Malpighiales; Euphorbiaceae. The record is from RNAcentral.
GUUUAAAUGUGAGUUUUUUUUAGGUGACAAAUUUGUAUCGCGUGACUGGUUUAGUGUCAAAUCUGAUAUAUGUAUGUUCAGCUUGUUAAUUAUGGGAUGAGGUCGGUCUAAAAAUUUUAGUUUAGGCCCUUAUAGAAAGUUUUGGACUCCCUAUCAGUUGGAGUCUAAGGAUAGUUUUCUGCCAGUAAGUUGGUGUUGUUAUUUGUGUCCAUUUCGUUUGAUGUUUUUCUUUGAUU